AUUGAACGCUGGCGGCAGGCCUAACACAUGCAAGUCGAACGAGUGGCGGACGGGUGAGUAAUGUCUGGGAAACUGCCUGAUGGAGGGGGAUAACUACUGGAAACGGUAGCUAAUACCGCAUACCAUCGGAUGUGCCCAGAUGGGAUUAGCUAGUAGGUGGGGUAAAGGCUAACCUAGGCGAAGAUCCCUAGCUGGUCUGAGAGGAUGACCAGCCACACUGGAACGGAGACACGGCCCAGACGCCUACGGGAGGCAGAAGGGGGGAAUAUUGCACAAUGGGCGAAAGCCUGAUGCAGCCAUGCCGCGUGUAUUAAGAAGGCCUUCGGGUUGUAAAGUACUUUCAGCGGGGAGGCGUUACCCGCAGAAGAAGCACCGGCUAACUCCGUGCCAGCCGCCGCGGUAAUAC
RNAcentral lists this ribosomal RNA (406 nucleotides) under uncultured bacterium. RNAcentral's name for it is "partial 16S ribosomal RNA". It matches the Rfam family "Bacterial small subunit ribosomal RNA", at positions 30 to 526 of the family's 1533-position model. The record is from RNAcentral.